Molecule: small nuclear RNA, 108 nt
Filed under: Marmota marmota marmota (Alpine marmot)
Lineage: Eukaryota; Metazoa; Chordata; Mammalia; Rodentia; Sciuridae
Also listed under: 1 other name
Source: RNAcentral
GUGCUUGCUUUGGCAGCACAUAUACUAAAAUUGGGACAAUACAGAAAAAAAUUAGCAUGGUCCCUGAGCAAGGAUGACACCCACAUUUGUGAAUCAUUCCAUAGUUUU